CCUACGGGGGCUGCAGUGGGGAAUAUUGGACAAUGGGCGAAAGCCUGAUCCAGCCAUGCCGCGUGUGUGAAGAAGGCCUUCGGGUUGUAAAGCACUUUCAGUGGGGAAGAAAGCCUUGGGGCUAAUACCCUCGAGGAAGGACAUCACCCACAGAAGAAGCACCGGCUAACUCCGUGCCAGCAGCCGCGGUAAUACGGAGGGUGCGAGCGUUAAUCGGAAUUACUGGGCGUAAAGCGCGCGUAGGCGGUCUGAUAAGCCGGUUGUGAAAGCCCCGGGCUCAACCUGGGAACGGCAUCCGGAACUGUCAGGCUAGAGUGCUGGAGAGGAAGGUAGAAUUCCCGGUGUAGCGGUGAAAUGCGUAGAGAUCGGGAGGAAUACCAGUGGCGAAGGCGGCCUUCUGGACUGACACUGACGCUGAGGUGCGAAAGCGUGGGUAGCAAACAGGAUUAGAUACCCCAGUAGUC
Molecule: ribosomal RNA, 464 nt
Filed under: Vreelandella stevensii
Lineage: Bacteria; Pseudomonadati; Pseudomonadota; Gammaproteobacteria; Oceanospirillales; Halomonadaceae
Description: partial 16S ribosomal RNA
Rfam family: Bacterial small subunit ribosomal RNA
Source: RNAcentral